This 311-nucleotide non-coding RNA is filed under the name Gossypium arboreum. Its description in RNAcentral is "Eukaryotic small subunit ribosomal RNA". It matches the Rfam family "Eukaryotic small subunit ribosomal RNA", at positions 1233 to 1413 of the family's 1831-position model. Lineage: Eukaryota; Viridiplantae; Streptophyta; Magnoliopsida; Malvales; Malvaceae. The record is from Rfam by way of RNAcentral.
GUAAGGAUUGAUAGACUGAGAGCUCUUUCUUGAUUCUAUGGGUGGUGGUGCAUGGCCGUUCUUAGUUGGUGGAGUGAUUUGUCUAGUUAAUUCUGUUAACGAACGAGAUAUCAGCUUGCUAACUAUUCUUGGUCUUUUUUGUGCGUUGUCUUUAUUUUGUAUUAUUUGCGGUGGCGGGUCAAUCGAGGAUGUACGGGCGACUGUGCGUGGCGUUGAAACAUUGGUUUCUUUUUUCUAGCCUAUUUUAACCUAGUUUGACGGAUUGGUUCAUCGUGAGUAUCAAGUUUUUGUCAUUUUCUCUUGUUUCUUUA